GAUGAACGCUGGCGGCGUGCCUAAUACAUGCAAGUCGAGCGAACAGACGAGGAGCUUGCUCCUCUGACGUUAGCGGCGGACGGGUGAGUAACACGUGGAUAACCUACCUAUAAGACUGGGAUAACUUCGGGAAACCGGAGCUAAUACCGUAUAAUAUAUUGAACCGCAUGGUUCAAUAGUGAAAGACGGUUUUGCUGUCACUUCUAGAUGGAUCCGCGCCGCAUUAGCUAGUUGGUAAGGUAACGGCUUACCAAGGCAACGAUGCGUAGCCGACCUGAGAGGGUGAUAGGCCACACUGGAACUGAGACACGGUCCAGACUCCUACGGGAGGCAGCAGUAGGGAAUCUUCCGCAAUGGGCGAAAGCUUGACGGAGCAACGCCGCGUGAGUGAUGAAGGUCUUCGGAUCGUAAAACUCUGUUAUUAGGGAAGAACAAAUGUGUAAGUAACUAUGCACGUCUUGACGGUACCUAAUCAGAAAGCCACGGCUAACUACGUG
RNAcentral lists this ribosomal RNA (497 nucleotides) under uncultured bacterium. RNAcentral describes it as "partial 16S ribosomal RNA". It matches the Rfam family "Bacterial small subunit ribosomal RNA", at positions 28 to 507 of the family's 1533-position model. The record is from RNAcentral.